This 626-nucleotide ribosomal RNA is filed under the name uncultured Planctomycetota bacterium. RNAcentral's name for it is "bacterial SSU rRNA". It matches the Rfam family "Bacterial small subunit ribosomal RNA", at positions 565 to 1180 of the family's 1533-position model. Lineage: Bacteria; Pseudomonadati; Planctomycetota. The record is from RNAcentral.
GAGCACGUAGGUGGGUUUGUAAGUCAGACGUGAAAGCCUUCUGUUCAACGGAAGAAUUGCAUCUGAAACUACAAACCUUGAGUGUAGGAGGGGAGAAUGGAACUUCUGGUGGAGCGGUGAAAUGCGUAGAUAUCAGAAGGAACGCCGGCGGCGAAAGCGAUUCUCUGGCCUAUUACUGACACUCAGUGUGCGAAAGCUAGGGGAGCAAACGGGAUUAGAUACCCCGGUAGUCCUAGCCGUAAACGAUGGGCACUAAGUAGAGGGAAUUACCGAUGUUCUCUCUGCCGUAGCUAACGCAUUAAGUGCCCCGCCUGGGGAGUACGGCCGCAAGGCUAAAACUCAAAAGAAUUGACGGGGGCUCGCACAAGCGGUGGAGCAUGUGGCUUAAUUCGAUGCAACGCGAAAAACCUUACCGGGGCUUGACAUGGUAGAAGUAGGAACCCGAAAGGGUAACGAACGGUAUCCAGUCCGUGACUAUCACAGGUGUUGCAUGGCUGUCGUCAGCUCGUGUCGUGAGACGUUGGGUUAAGUCCCCUAACGAGCGAAACCCUUGUUUUUAGUUGCCAGCGGGUUAUGCCGGGCACUCUAGAAAGACUGCCGUCGUCAAGACGGAGGAAGGUGGGGAU